Long non-coding RNA from Harmonia axyridis, 605 nucleotides. RefSeq lists it as uncharacterized. The record is from RefSeq and is a predicted model, not a curated record. The transcript is spliced from 4 exons. Lineage: Eukaryota; Metazoa; Arthropoda; Insecta; Coleoptera; Coccinellidae.
AAUCAUGAAUUUUGAAGUAUUUGAAGUUUUCUUCGAAAAUGUAAUAUUUUUCGAAGAAAAUAUUGCAUAAAUAAUAAGUUCGGAAUGGAUAGAACUGCAUAAUAUUAAAUAUUCAACUAGAGAUUAACAUAAGUAACAUAAUGCGGUGAAGUGACACUCUCCAAUGGAGGAAAAUCGUUAUUUAGGACCGGUUGAGAAAAAAAAUAGUAUUCACUCAUCACCACUUAUUGCUGUAGAAUGAAGAUGGUAUGUUUUCAAGGCAAAUAGUUUUUCCAAUGGACUUCCCCAAUAGAGCACAUCAUUCGACUGGGAAUUCAGAGGUGAGUGGAUAUUCGAACUGAGUUGAAAAUAAUAUAUUCGAAAUCUGCAAUAUUUAAUGGAAAGCUGUUAAGGCUAUUUACAUUACCUGGAAACACCACUUCGACUCUACAGAAACUCUACCUUCAUGCGUUGUUGCAAUCAGCACCAGUAGAGAUAUUGACCUGGUAACCUAUUAUUGAACUAGUCUGUUCACCAGCAUCGCGGUUUAUAGUAAAUGGAAGUUAAGUUGUUCUGCAAUAUAAUAGAAAAGUUAAUAUUGUAUAGAAAAGUAGAUACAAUAUAAA